This 440-nucleotide ribosomal RNA is filed under the name uncultured bacterium. Its description in RNAcentral is "partial 16S ribosomal RNA". It matches the Rfam family "Bacterial small subunit ribosomal RNA", at positions 338 to 795 of the family's 1533-position model. The record is from RNAcentral.
CCUACGGGAGGCAGCAGUGGGGAAUAUUGCACAAUGGGGGGAACCCUGAUGCAGCGACGCCGCGUGAGUGAAGAAGUAUUUCGGUAUGUAAAGCUCUAUCAGCAGGGAAGAAAAUGACGGUACCUGACUAAUAAGCACCGGCUAACUCCGUGCCAGCAGCCGCGGUAAUACGGAGGGGGCAAGCGUUAUCCGGAUUUACUGGGCGUAAGGGGAGCGCAGACGGGUGAGCAAGUCUGGUGUGAAAGGCGGGGGCCCAACCCCAGGACUGCUCUGGAAACUGUAAAGCUGGAGUGCAGGAGAGGUAGGCGGAAUUCCUAGUGUAGCGGUGAAAUGCGUAGAGAUUAGGAGGAACACCAGUGGCGAAGGCGACUUACUGGACUGCAACUGACGUUGAGGCUCGAAAGCGUGGGGAGCAAACAGGAUUAGAUACCCGAGUAGUC